GUAACUCCCAGCACAUCUGAUGAUGAUGACGCUGCGGAAGCAGGUCCAUCAAAAGAAGUCUGGAGCAGCAGAAGUGGGACUUCUGUAAGACAUCACCACAAAAAACCUGUGGCAGCAAAGAAAGCAAGGUCUGAUGUCCAGGGCCAACCACAGCAGGCUACCCGGCCACGAAGAUUAUCGACAGUAUGUUCGGUCCCCCCACUCCAAAUUUUGGACACACCUCCAAGACGUCAUCCACACUCCCCUCAUCUUGAUUCUUCUAGUCCUGGUAACAGCAUCCCUCCGCAACAACAGCAACACAGUGACAUGG
Long non-coding RNA from Pseudophryne corroboree (corroboree frog), 310 nucleotides. RefSeq lists it as uncharacterized. The record is from RefSeq and is a predicted model, not a curated record. The transcript is spliced from 3 exons. Lineage: Eukaryota; Metazoa; Chordata; Amphibia; Anura; Myobatrachidae.